RNAcentral lists this ribosomal RNA (1341 nucleotides) under Vibrio fluvialis. RNAcentral describes it as "partial 23S ribosomal RNA". It matches the Rfam family "Bacterial large subunit ribosomal RNA", at positions 1606 to 2925 of the family's 2925-position model. The record is from RNAcentral. Lineage: Bacteria; Pseudomonadati; Pseudomonadota; Gammaproteobacteria; Vibrionales; Vibrionaceae.
UUCCAGGAAAAGCCUCUAAGCUUCAGAUUGUAAGGAAUCGUACCCCAAACCGACACAGGUGGUCGGGUAGAGAAUACCAAGGCGCUUGAGAGAACUCGGGUGAAGGAACUAGGCAAAAUGGUACCGUAACUUCGGGAGAAGGUACGCUCUUGAUGGUGAAGUCCCUCGCGGAUGGAGCUGAUGAGAGUCGCAGAUACCAGGUGGCUGCAACUGUUUAUUAAAAACACAGCACUGUGCAAAAUCGUAAGAUGACGUAUACGGUGUGACGCCUGCCCGGUGCCGGAAGGUUAAUUGAUGGGGUUAGCGUAAGCGAAGCUCUUGAUCGAAGCCCCGGUAAACGGCGGCCGUAACUAUAACGGUCCUAAGGUAGCGAAAUUCCUUGUCGGGUAAGUUCCGACCUGCACGAAUGGCGUAAUGAUGGCCACGCUGUCUCCACCCGAGACUCAGUGAAAUUGAAAUCGCUGUGAAGAUGCAGUGUACCCGCGGCUAGACGGAAAGACCCCGUGAACCUUUACUACAGCUUGGCACUGAACAUUGAACCUACAUGUGUAGGAUAGGUGGGAGGCUUUGAAGACGUGACGCUAGUUGCGUUGGAGCCGUCCUUGAAAUACCACCCUUGUAUGUUUGAUGUUCUAACUUAGCCCCGUUAUCCGGGGUGAGGACAGUGCCUGGUGGGUAGUUUGACUGGGGCGGUCUCCUCCCAAAGAGUAACGGAGGAGCACGAAGGUGGGCUAAUCACGGUUGGACAUCGUGAGGUUAGUGCAAUGGCAUAAGCCCGCUUAACUGCGAGAAUGACGGUUCGAGCAGGUGCGAAAGCAGGUCAUAGUGAUCCGGUGGUUCUGUAUGGAAGGGCCAUCGCUCAACGGAUAAAAGGUACUCCGGGGAUAACAGGCUGAUACCGCCCAAGAGUUCAUAUCGACGGCGGUGUUUGGCACCUCGAUGUCGGCUCAUCACAUCCUGGGGCUGAAGUCGGUCCCAAGGGUAUGGCUGUUCGCCAUUUAAAGUGGUACGCGAGCUGGGUUUAGAACGUCGUGAGACAGUUCGGUCCCUAUCUGCCGUGGGCGUUGGAAGAUUGAAGGGGGCUGCUCCUAGUACGAGAGGACCGGAGUGGACGAACCUCUGGUGUUCGGGUUGUGUCGCCAGACGCAUUGCCCGGUAGCUAAGUUCGGAAUCGAUAACCGCUGAAAGCAUCUAAGCGGGAAGCGAGCCCUGAGAUGAGUCUUCCCUGACGGUUUAACCGUCCUAAAGGGUUGUUCGAGACUAGAACGUUGAUAGGCAGGGUGUGUAAGCGUUGUGAGGCGUUGAGCUAACCUGUACUAAUUGCCCGUGAGGCUUAACCAU